This 660-nucleotide long non-coding RNA is filed under the name Anas platyrhynchos platyrhynchos (common mallard). RNAcentral describes it as "lncRNA (ENSAPLG00000024446.1)". The record is from RNAcentral. Lineage: Eukaryota; Metazoa; Chordata; Aves; Anseriformes; Anatidae.
CCCACCACUUGCUCAGCUACUAGGUUCUCUGAGAGCCAGUGUACAUGGCAGGAAUUAGGCUAGAAGAAGCAAGGUCUAUUCCAAGAUGAUUCUAAUAAGAGCUUGGAACCAGAUUUUGAAGGUGUGACCAAUAGCAAGAGUUCUUGCUGGGAACAGGGAUGAGAAGCAAUGCCCAAGGGGAAGCUGUGUAUUGUUGAGGUACAGCAGGUACAGGGAGAGGUGAAUCCAAGAGGGAACAGAGAAGAUUGAGGAGUCAGUCUACAGUGGAGGAGAUCUACUACAACAGAAAUUAUCUGUUCCUCUUUUACUUAAUCUGGAAAAAAAAAAAAAAGGAAAAAAAAAGUGUCUUGUGUUCAGUUGAAUUUUAAGUAAUUGUCAUUCUUCAGCCAACUGGCAGGACCCGCCUGGUGCACCUCAGAGUACCAGUCUAUCUGUUGUUCUGCAUCCAGUUCCAGUCAGAAUCUAAUAUUUUAGAUUAAGGUAGAAACAUGGAAAACAAUAUUUGGCCAGUUGUUCUUCUUAUUCAAAUGAUCAAUUGGUGAACCUUGAAGGAGAUGGGAGUCUUGGGAAUAUAUUACAGUGAUUUACUGCACAGCAGCCAGUUCUGUAGGACCAUGUAGGAAAGAUUAUUGAUCCUUCUGUUCCCUAGGGAUGGGUGGA